RNAcentral lists this ribosomal RNA (763 nucleotides) under uncultured Streptococcus sp. RNAcentral's name for it is "bacterial SSU rRNA". It matches the Rfam family "Bacterial small subunit ribosomal RNA", at positions 28 to 776 of the family's 1533-position model. Lineage: Bacteria; Bacillati; Bacillota; Bacilli; Lactobacillales; Streptococcaceae. The record is from RNAcentral.
GACGAACGCUGGCGGCGUGCCUAAUACAUGCAAGUAGAACGCUGAAGGAGGAGCUUGCUCUUCUGGAUGAGUUGCGAACGGGUGAGUAACGCGUAGGUAACCUGCCUGGUAGCGGGGGAUAACUAUUGGAAACGAUAGCUAAUACCGCAUAAUAUUGAUUAUUGCAUGAUAGUCAAUUAAAAGGUGCAAUUGCAUCACUACCAGAUGGACCUGCGUUGUAUUAGCUAGUUGGUGAGGUAACGGCUCACCAAGGCAACGAUACAUAGCCGACCUGAGAGGGUGAUCGGCCACACUGGGACUGAGACACGGCCCAGACUCCUACGGGAGGCAGCAGUAGGGAAUCUUCGGCAAUGGACGGAAGUCUGACCGAGCAACGCCGCGUGAGUGAAGAAGGUUUUCGGAUCGUAAAGCUCUGUUGUAAGAGAAGAACGAGUGUGAGAGUGGAAAGUUCACACUGUGACGGUAUCUUACCAGAAAGGGACGGCUAACUACGUGCCAGCAGCCGCGGUAAUACGUAGGUCCCGAGCGUUGUCCGGAUUUAUUGGGCGUAAAGCGAGCGCAGGCGGUUAGAUAAGUCUGAAGUUAAAGGCUGUGGCUUAACCAUAGUACGCUUUGGAAACUGUUUAACUUGAGUGCAAGAGGGGAGAGUGGAAUUCCAUGUGUAGCGGUGAAAUGCGUAGAUAUAUGGAGGAACACCGGUGGCGAAAGCGGCUCUCUGGCUUGUAACUGACGCUGAGGCUCGAAAGCGUGGGGAGCAAACAGG